UCAAGUGAAGAAGCGCAUACGGUGGAUGCCUUGGCAGUCAGAGGCGAUGAAAGACGUGGUAGCCUGCGAAAAGCUUCGGGGAGUCGGCAAACAGACUUUGAUCCGGAGAUCUCUGAAUGGGGGAACCCACCUAGGAUAACCUAGGUAUCUUGUACUGAAUCCAUAGGUGCAAGAGGCGAACCAGGGGAACUGAAACAUCUAAGUACCCUGAGGAAAAGAAAUCAACCGAGAUUCCCUUAGUAGUGGCGAGCGAACGGGGAUUAGCCCUUAAGCUUCAUUGAUUUUAGCGGAACGCUCUGGAAAGUGCGGCCAUAGUGGGUGAUAGCCCCGUACGCGAAAGGAUCUUUGAAGUGAAAUCGAGUAGGACGGAGCACGAGAAACUUUGUCUGAACAUGGGGGGACCAUCCUCCAAGGCUAAAUACUACUGACUGACCGAUAGUGAACCAGUACCGUGAGGGAAAGGCGAAAAGAACCCCGGAGAGGGGAGUGAAAUAGAACCUGAAACCGUAUGCGUACAAGCAGUGGGAGCCUACUUGUUAGGUGACUGCGUACCUUUUGUAUAAUGGGUCAGCGACUUAUAUUCAGUGGCAAGCUUAACCGUAUAGGGUAGGCGUAGCGAAAGCGAGUCUUAAUAGGGCGUUUAGUCGCUGGGUAUAGACCCGAAACCGGGCGAUCUAUCCAUGAGCAGGUUGAAGGUUAGGUAACACUGACUGGAGGACCGAACCCACUCCCGUUGAAAAGGUAGGGGAUGACUUGUGGAUCGGAGUGAAAGGCUAAUCAAGCUCGGAGAUAGCUGGUUCUCCUCGAAAGCUAUUUAGGUAGCGCCUCAUGUAUCACUCUGGGGGGUAGAGCACUGUUUCGGCUAGGGGGUCAUCCCGACUUACCAAACCGAUGCAAACUCCGAAUACCCAGAAGUGCCGAGCAUGGGAGACACACGGCGGGUGCUAACGUCCGUCGUGAAAAGGGAAACAACCCAGACCGCCAGCUAAGGUCCCAAAGUUGUGGUUAAGUGGUAAACGAUGUGGGAAGGCUUAGACAGCUAGGAGGUUGGCUUAGAAGCAGCCACCCUUUAAAGAAAGCGUAAUAGCUCACUAGUCGAGUCGGCCUGCGCGGAAGAUGUAACGGGGCUCAAACCACACACCGAAGCUGCGGGUGUCACGCAAGUGACGCGGUAGAGGAGCGUUCUGUAAGCCUGUGAAGGUGAGUUGAGAAGCUUGCUGGAGGUAUCAGAAGUGCGAAUGCUGACAUGAGUAACGACAAUGGGUGUGAAAAACACCCACGCCGAAAGACCAAGGGUUCCUGCGCAACGUUAAUCGACGCAGGGUUAGUCGGUUCCUAAGGCGAGGCUGAAAAGCGUAGUCGAUGGGAAACAGGUUAAUAUUCCUGUACUUCUGGUUACUGCGAUGGAGGGACGGAGAAGGCUAGGCCAGCUUGGCGUUGGUUGUCCAAGUUUAAGGUGGUAGGCUGAAAUCUUAGGUAAAUCCGGGGUUUCAAGGCCGAGAGCUGAUGACGAGUCGUCUUUUAGAUGACGAAGUGGUUGAUGCCAUGCUUCCAAGAAAAGCUUCUAAGCUUCAGGUAACCAGGAACCGUACCCCAAACCGACACAGGUGGUCGGGUAGAGAAUACCAAGGCGCUUGAGAGAACUCGGGUGAAGGAACUAGGCAAAAUGGCACCGUAACUUCGGGAGAAGGUGCGCCGGCUAGGGUGAAGGAUUUACUCCGUAAGCUCUGGCUGGUCGAAGAUACCAGGCCGCUGCGACUGUUUAUUAAAAACACAGCACUCUGCAAACACGAAAGUGGACGUAUAGGGUGUGACGCCUGCCCGGUGCCGGAAGGUUAAUUGAUGGGGUUAGCGCAAGCGAAGCUCUUGAUCGAAGCCCCGGUAAACGGCGGCCGUAACUAUAACGGUCCUAAGGUAGCGAAAUUCCUUGUCGGGUAAGUUCCGACCUGCACGAAUGGCGUAACGAUGGCGGCGCUGUCUCCACCCGAGACUCAGUGAAAUUGAAAUCGCUGUGAAGAUGCAGUGUAUCCGCGGCUAGACGGAAAGACCCCGUGAACCUUUACUGUAGCUUUGCACUGGACUUUGAGCCUGCUUGUGUAGGAUAGGUGGGAGGCUUUGAAGCGUGGACGCCAGUUCGCGUGGAGCCAUCCUUGAAAUACCACCCUGGCAUGCUUGAGGUUCUAACUCUGGUCCGUAAUCCGGAUCGAGGACAGUGUAUGGUGGGCAGUUUGACUGGGGCGGUCUCCUCCUAAAGAGUAACGGAGGAGUACGAAGGUGCGCUCAGACCGGUCGGAAAUCGGUCGCAGAGUAUAAAGGCAAA
This 2320-nucleotide ribosomal RNA is filed under the name Pseudomonas aeruginosa BWHPSA020. Its description in RNAcentral is "bacterial LSU rRNA". It matches the Rfam family "Bacterial large subunit ribosomal RNA", at positions 3 to 2361 of the family's 2925-position model. The record is from RNAcentral. Lineage: Bacteria; Pseudomonadati; Pseudomonadota; Gammaproteobacteria; Pseudomonadales; Pseudomonadaceae.